UGGGGAAUCUUGCGCAAUGGCCGAAAGGCUGACGCAGCGACGCCGCGUGUGGGAUGAAGCAUUUCGGUGUGUAAACCACUGUUGCCCGGGACGAACACACUCUUUCGAGAGUGCUGACGGUACCGGGUGAGGAAGCACCGGCUAACUCCGUGCCAGCAGCCGCGGUAAUACGGAGGGUGCGAGCGUUGUCCGGAAUCACUGGGCGUAAAGGGCGCGUAGGCGGCGCGGGCAGUCAACGGUGAAAGCUCGGAGCUCAACUCCGAGUCGGCCGUCGAUACUCCCGCGCUCGAGCACUGUAGAGGCAGGUGGAAUUCCGGGUGUAGCGGUGGAAUGCGUAGAGAUCCGGAAGAACACCGGUGGCGAAGGCGGCCUGCUGGGCAGUAGCUGACGCUGAGGCGCGACAGCGUGGGGAGCAAACAGGAUUAGAUACCCCCGUAGUCC
This 441-nucleotide ribosomal RNA is filed under the name uncultured bacterium. Its description in RNAcentral is "bacterial SSU rRNA". It matches the Rfam family "Bacterial small subunit ribosomal RNA", at positions 355 to 796 of the family's 1533-position model. The record is from RNAcentral.